GUACUCCCUUUGGCAGCACACAUACUAAAAUUGGAAUGAUACAGAGAAGCAUGGCCCCUGCACAAGGAUGAUAAGCAGAUUUGUGAAGCAUUCCAUAUUUUU
RNAcentral lists this small nuclear RNA (102 nucleotides) under Dasypus novemcinctus (nine-banded armadillo). The record is from RNAcentral. Lineage: Eukaryota; Metazoa; Chordata; Mammalia; Cingulata; Dasypodidae.